UACGGGGGGAGCAAGCGUUGUUCGGAUUUACUGGGCGUAAAGGGCGCGUAGGCGGUCGUGACAAGUCACUUGUGAAAUCUCCGGGCUUAACCUCGGAACGGUCAAGUGAUACUGUCGGACUAGAAGGUACAGAAGGGGCAACUGGAAUUCUCGGUGUAGCGGUGAAAUGCGUAGAUAUCGAGAGGAACACCUGGCGGCGAAGGCGGGUUGCUGGGCUGACACUGAACGCUGGAUGAUGGCGAAAGCCUAGGGGAGCGAAGCGGG
RNAcentral lists this ribosomal RNA (264 nucleotides) under uncultured bacterium. RNAcentral describes it as "partial 16S ribosomal RNA". It matches the Rfam family "Bacterial small subunit ribosomal RNA", at positions 524 to 777 of the family's 1533-position model. The record is from RNAcentral.